UGAAGCCGCGAAUGGCUCAUUACAACAGCCAUAGUUUCUUAGAUCUUACUUUUCUACUUGGAUAACUGUGGUAAUUCUAGAGCUAAUACACGCAAACAAGCUCAGACCUUACGGAAUGAGCGCAUUUAUUAGAACAAAAACCAAUCGGAUCUCGGUCCGUCAUUUGGUGAAUCUGAAUAACUUUGCUGAUCGCACGGUCAUCGUACCGGCGACAUAUCUUUCAAAUGUCUGCCUUAUCAACUUUCGAUGGUAGUUUAUGCGCCUACCAUGGUUGUAACGGGUAACGGAGAAUAAGGGUUCGACUCCGGAGAGGGAGCCUGAGAAACGGCUACCACAUCCAAGGAAGGCAGCAGGCACGCAAAUUACCCACUCCCGGCACGGGGAGGUAGUGACGAAAAAUAACGAGACGGCUCGCCAUGCGGUCCGUCAUCGGAAUGGGUACAAUUUAAAUCCUUUAACGAGGAUCUAUU
Molecule: ribosomal RNA, 470 nt
Filed under: uncultured eukaryote
Lineage: Eukaryota
Description: SSU rRNA
Rfam family: Eukaryotic small subunit ribosomal RNA
Source: RNAcentral